This 71-nucleotide small nucleolar RNA is filed under the name Euglena gracilis. RNAcentral describes it as "Eg-m178 box C/D methylation-guide". The record is from RNAcentral. Lineage: Eukaryota; Euglenozoa; Euglenophyceae; Euglenales; Euglenaceae.
CUGAUGAUGACAAUAUUCCUCUCUAUUCUGAUGAACUCAUGACGUCAUCUUCCAUGCACCACCGUCUGAUG